Molecule: ribosomal RNA, 422 nt
Filed under: uncultured bacterium
Lineage: Bacteria
Description: partial 16S ribosomal RNA
Rfam family: Bacterial small subunit ribosomal RNA
Source: RNAcentral
AAUCUUCCACAAUGGGCGAAAGCCUGAUGGAGCAACGCUGCGUGAGUGAAGAAGGAUUUCGGAUCGUAAAACGCUGUUGUAAGGGAAGAACAAGUACAGUAGUAACUGGCUGUACCUUGACAGUACCUUAUUAGAAAGCUACGGCUAACUACCUGCUAGCAGCCGAGGUAAUACGUAGGUGGCAAGCGUUGUCCGGAAUUAUUGGGCGUAAAGCGCGCGCAGGCGGUCCUUUAAGUCUGAUGUGAAAGCCCACGGCUCAACCGUGGAGGGUCAUUGGAAACUGGGGGACUUGAGUGCAGAAGAGGAAAGUGGAAUUCCAAGUGUAGCGGUGAAAUGCGUAGAGAUUUGGAGGAACACCAGUGGCGAAGGCGACUUUCUGGUCUGUAACUGACGCUGAGGCGCGAAAGCGUGGGGAGCAAACA